Molecule: small nucleolar RNA, 94 nt
Organism: Hevea brasiliensis (rubber tree)
Lineage: Eukaryota; Viridiplantae; Streptophyta; Magnoliopsida; Malpighiales; Euphorbiaceae
Product: small nucleolar RNA R64/Z200 family
Exons: 1
Source: RefSeq, a predicted model, not a curated record
CUUCUGCAGUGAUGAAUUUAUGAAACAAUUCACAUGUCAGACUUCAGAGAUUUUUUCAAUCAGUGAGAAGAAAAUUCAUAUUUCUGAGCAGAGG